GCUACACAUGCAAGUCGAACGGUGUCUUCGGACACAGUGGCGGACGGGUGAGUAACGCGUGAGAAUCUGCCAUCAGGUCUGGGACAACCACUGGAAACGGUGGCUAAUACCGGAUGUGCCGAGAGGUGAAAGGUUAACUGCCUGUUGAUGAGCUCGCGUCUGAUUAGCUAGUUGGCAGUGUAAUGGACUACCAAGGCGACGAUCAGUAGCUGGUCUGAGAGGAUGAUCAGCCACACUGGGACUGAGACACGGCCCAGACUCCUACGGGAGGCAGCAGUGGGGAAUUUUCCGCAAUGGGCGAAAGCCUGACGGAGCAAUACCGCGUGAGGGAGGAAGGCUCUUGGGUCGUAAACCUCUUUUCUCAGGGAAGAACAAAAUGACGGUACCUGAGGAAUAAGCAUCGGCUAACUCCGUGCCAGCAGCCGCGGUAAUACGGAGGAUGCAAGCGUUAUCCGGAAUGAUUGGGCGUAAAGCGUCCGCAGGUGGCUAUGUAAGUCUGCUGUUAAAGCGUCUAGCUCAACUAGAUAAGAGCAGUGGAAACUACAAGGCUAGAGUGCGUUCGGGGCAGAGGGAAUUCCUGGUGUAGCGGUGAAAUGCGUAGAGAUCAGGAAGAACACCGGUGGCGAAGGCGCUCUGCUAGGCCGCAACUGACACUGAGGGACGAAAGCUAGGGGAGCGAAUGGGAUUAGAUACCCCAGUAGUCCUAGCCGUAAACGAUGGAUACUAGGCGUGGCUUGUAUCGACCCGAGCCGUGCCGUAGCUAACGCGUUAAGUAUCCCGCCUGGGGAGUACGCACGCAAGUGUGAACUCAAAGGAAUUGACGGGGCCCGCACAAGCGGUGGAGUAUGUGUUAUCGAUGCACGCGAGACCUACAGACUGGACAUGUCAGAUCUCUGAA
Molecule: ribosomal RNA, 898 nt
Filed under: uncultured cyanobacterium
Lineage: Bacteria; Bacillati; Cyanobacteriota
Description: bacterial SSU rRNA
Rfam family: Bacterial small subunit ribosomal RNA
Source: RNAcentral